CCCACUAUUCAAGCUUAUGCAAGGUAAGUUGGCAAUACUUUAUUACAGCACACCUCACAGAUAUAUAGCAAUAAGUAUGCAUUCACAAGUGCAUCGUUUGUUUACUGUAGGUGCCAAAGCAUGAGGUGGUUAUGUAAAAAAUGCAGCUUUCAGUCAAACCGAAGACUACUGUACAGCUAUUAAUACACUUAAGUGCAUCCAACUCUAAUCAUCACUUGAUUGUGUUACAUUUUAUUUUCUUUGUUUUAGAUAAAAAAUGAUUUCAGAAGAAUCACCACAAUUUCCUUGGAGCGUACAUUCUUGUAAAAGCUGGACUUCUAUACCCCAAAACUCCUGGCUUUGUUUGAGAUGAGGGGUGGGGUUGCUGGCAUAAGAAUUAAACAUUUGCUGGAUUCACUGAGCUAGCAAGAAGAUAGCCUUGAAGAUAGGUGAGAAGUUGUGAUUCGCUGCCUCCUAUCUUUCCUGGGAGAAUCAGCUAAGGAGCUCAUUGAAGACCACCAGGAUAUCAGCAGAGACAUGAUUAAGGAUACCUUAUUCAGUCAUGUCUUUAAAAUCAACGUACUGAGCAGAUCUGUGGAAGAAGAUGCCGGUAUGUCUGAUGUCAUCAUUGUCAUUGAGGGAACUGAGGUGCUGCUGGGAUGUAAGAAUCUCACAAAUGCAUGUCUUUCACUCUCAUGCUGCAUUUACUCCCUAAACUUAAGCUGUCCCCCAAAGCUGAGAAACACAUUUGGAGUGUUUCAUAAAAUUUUUCUUGGGUUAGAUGCUUUUUAAAUUUUCUCCAAAGGUUAACUCUGCAUAGAAAGCUUCUAAUGUAAUCUGCUAGUUGGGCACUCCUUGCACUUAUUGUACUGUUUUUUUUUUUUUUGAUUGUUUUGUUUUAAACAAGAAAUGUUGUUCACAAAACAACUUCAACUACAGUACUAUUUAACAUAGCCAUUCUUAUGCAUUUUAAGUAAUACUAUUCUGCUGAAGAAUAAUUAUUUUAUUUGAUGUCUUUUUUCACUUAAUUUAAUCUAAUUGAAAUUAAAAUAAGCUAAUGAAAGGCAGCUACUAGUUUGACUAUUUGCACAUUUGUUUUUGAUAUCUGCAACUGACAUUGUUGUAAUGUUUAUG
Paramisgurnus dabryanus is the source of this 1113-nucleotide non-coding RNA. NCBI's taxonomy places the organism in Eukaryota, Metazoa, Chordata, Actinopteri, Cypriniformes, Cobitidae. The record is from RefSeq and is a predicted model, not a curated record.